This 24-nucleotide non-coding RNA is filed under the name Arabidopsis thaliana (thale cress). The record is from RNAcentral. Lineage: Eukaryota; Viridiplantae; Streptophyta; Magnoliopsida; Brassicales; Brassicaceae.
AGGCGUUCAGUCAUAAUCCAGCGC